GUGGGGAAUAUUGGACAAUGGGCGAAAGCCUGAUCCAGCCAUGCCGCGUGUGUGAAGAAGGUCUUCGGAUUGUAAAGCACUUUAAGUUGGGAGGAAGGGCAGUAAGUUAAUACCUUGCUGUUUUGACGUUACCGACAGAAUAAGCACCGGCUAACUUCGUGCCAGCAGCCGCGGUAAUACGAAGGGUGCAAGCGUUAAUCGGAAUUACUGGGCGUAAAGCGCGCGUAGGUGGUUUUGUAAGUUGGAGGUGAAAUCCCCGGGCUCAACCUGGGAACUGCCUCCAAAACUGCAUGACUAGAGUACGGUAGAGGGUAGUGGAAUUUCCUGUGUAGCAGUGAAAUGCGUAGAUAUAGGAAGGAACACCAGUGGCGAAGGCGACUACCUGGACUGAUACUGACACUGAGGUGCGAAAGCGUGGGGAGCAAACAGGAUUAGAUACCCUUGUAGUCC
RNAcentral lists this ribosomal RNA (450 nucleotides) under uncultured bacterium. RNAcentral's name for it is "partial 16S ribosomal RNA". It matches the Rfam family "Bacterial small subunit ribosomal RNA", at positions 354 to 796 of the family's 1533-position model. The record is from RNAcentral.